GACAGAGGGUGCAAACGUUGUUCGGAAUUACUGGGCGUAAAGCGUGUGUAGGCGGUCUCUUAAGUCGGAUGUGAAAGCCCCGGGCUCAACCCGGGAAGUGCACUCGAAACUGGGAGGCUAGAGUACUGGAGAGGUUGGUGGAAUUCUCGGUGUAGAGGUGAAAUUCGUAGAUAUCGAGAGGAACACCGGUGGCGAAGGCGGCCAACUGGACAGAUACUGACGCUGAGACACGAAAGCGUGGGGAGCAAACAGG
Molecule: ribosomal RNA, 253 nt
Filed under: uncultured bacterium
Lineage: Bacteria
Description: partial 16S ribosomal RNA
Rfam family: Bacterial small subunit ribosomal RNA
Source: RNAcentral